This 353-nucleotide ribosomal RNA is filed under the name Spiralizoros caudelli. RNAcentral describes it as "Zorotypus caudelli partial 16S ribosomal RNA". Lineage: Eukaryota; Metazoa; Arthropoda; Insecta; Zoraptera; Spiralizoridae. The record is from RNAcentral.
UAGCAUAAUCAUUAGUUUAUUAAUUGUGAACUGGAAUGAAUGAUUGGACAAGAGAGGCACUGUUUCGGUAUUAUUAAGUGAAUUUUAUUUGUUAGUGAGAAAGCUAACAUUAUUAUGAGGGACGAGAAGACCCUGUAGAUCUUUAUUUAAAAUUAAUUUAGGAUUUGUUUAAUAUGGUUUUUGAUUUAGUUGGGGUAACUAUAAUAUAAAAUUAUUAUUAUAUACGGAAUACUUAAUGGUAAUUGGUUGACCUAUGUUUAAUAGGAUGAUGAUUAAGUUACCUCAGGGAUAACAGCAUAAUUUAAUUUAGGAGUUCUAAUCUAUAAUUAAGNNNGUGACCUCGAUGUUGAAUA